Molecule: ribosomal RNA, 496 nt
Filed under: uncultured bacterium
Lineage: Bacteria
Description: partial 16S ribosomal RNA
Rfam family: Bacterial small subunit ribosomal RNA
Source: RNAcentral
AUGAACGCUGGCGGCGUGCCUAAUACAUGCAAGUCGAGCGAACGGACGAGAAGCUUGCUUCUCUGAUGUUAGCGGCGGACGGGUGAGUAACACGUGGAUAACCUACCUAUAAGACUGGGAUAACUUCGGGAAACCGGUGCUAAUACCGGAUAAUAUUUUGAACCGCAUGGUUCAAAAGUGAAAGACGGUCUUGCUGUCACUUAUAGAUGGAUCCGCGCUGCAUUAGCUAGUUGGUAAGGUAACGGCUUACCAAGGCAACGAUGCAUAGCCGACCUGAGAGGGUGAUCGGCCACACUGGAACUGAGACACGGUCCAGACUCCUACGGGAGGCAGCAGUAGGGAAUCUUCCGCAAUGGGCGAAAGCCUGACGGAGCAACGCCGCGUGAGUGAUGAAGGUCUUCGGAUCGUAAAACUCUGUUAUUAGGGAAGAACAUAUGUGUAAGUAACUGUGCACAUCUUGACGGUACCUAAUCAGAAAGCCACGGCUAACUACGUG